Molecule: non-coding RNA, 111 nt
Organism: Paramuricea clavata
Lineage: Eukaryota; Metazoa; Cnidaria; Anthozoa; Malacalcyonacea; Plexauridae
Source: the annotation of a GenBank genome assembly
ACUGCAAAGCUUUCGAUCCGUAAGCUCGGAUCUUCAUCAGUGCUAGUAUUAAUAAUAUUAGCAUUGAUGAAGAUCCGUGCUUAUGGAUCGAAAGCUUUGCAGUAAUAAAUU